This 61-nucleotide transfer RNA is filed under the name Maja squinado (spiny spider crab). RNAcentral's name for it is "tRNA-Cys". It matches the Rfam family "tRNA". Rfam says of the family: Transfer RNA (tRNA) molecules are approximately 80 nucleotides in length. Their secondary structure includes four short double-helical elements and three loops (D, anti-codon, and T loops). Lineage: Eukaryota; Metazoa; Arthropoda; Malacostraca; Decapoda; Majidae. The record is from RNAcentral.
GGUCUUAUAGUAAAAAUUACAUUAGAUUGCAAAUCUAAAAAUGUGCUUGGCACUAAGACUU